This 2925-nucleotide ribosomal RNA is filed under the name Escherichia coli. RNAcentral describes it as "23S ribosomal RNA". It matches the Rfam family "Bacterial large subunit ribosomal RNA". Lineage: Bacteria; Pseudomonadati; Pseudomonadota; Gammaproteobacteria; Enterobacterales; Enterobacteriaceae. The record is from RNAcentral.
GGGUUGUGAGGUUAAGCGACUAAGCGUACACGGUGGAUGCCCUGGCAGUCAGAGGCGAUGAAGGACGUGCUAAUCUGCGAUAAGCGUCGGUGAGGUGAUAUGAACCGUUAUAACCGGCGAUUUCCGAAUGGGGAAACCCAGUGUGUUUCGACACACUAUCAUUAACUGAAUCCAUAGGUUAAUGAGGCGAACCGGGGGAACUGAAACAUCUAAGUACCCCGAGGAAAAGAAAUCAACCGAGAUUCCCCCAGUAGCGGCGAGCGAACGGGGAGGAGCCCAGAGCCUGAAUCAGUGUGUGUGUUAGUGGAAGUGUCUGGAAAGGCGCGCGAUACAGGGUGACAGCCCCGUACACAAAAAUGCACAUGCUGUGAGCUCGAUGAGUAGGGCGGGACACGUGGUAUCCUGUCUGAAUAUGGGGGGACCAUCCUCCAAGGCUAAAUACUCCUGACUGACCGAUAGUGAACCAGUACCGUGAGGGAAAGGCGAAAAGAACCCCGGCGAGGGGAGUGAAAAAGAACCUGAAACCGUGUACGUACAAGCAGUGGGAGCCUCUUAAUGGGGUGACUGCGUACCUUUUGUAUAAUGGGUCAGCGACUUAUAUUCUGUAGCAAGGUUAACCGAAUAGGGGAGCCGAAGGGAAACCGAGUCUUAACUGGGCGUUAAGUUGCAGGGUAUAGACCCGAAACCCGGUGAUCUAGCCAUGGGCAGGUUGAAGGUUGGGUAACACUAACUGGAGGACCGAACCGACUAAUGUUGAAAAAUUAGCGGAUGACUUGUGGCUGGGGGUGAAAGGCCAAUCAAACCGGGAGAUAGCUGGUUCUCCCCGAAAGCUAUUUAGGUAGCGCCUCGUGAAUUCAUCUCCGGGGGUAGAGCACUGUUUCGGCAAGGGGGUCAUCCCGACUUACCAACCCGAUGCAAACUGCGAAUACCGGAGAAUGUUAUCACGGGAGACACACGGCGGGUGCUAACGUCCGUCGUGAAGAGGGAAACAACCCAGACCGCCAGCUAAGGUCCCAAAGUCAUGGUUAAGUGGGAAACGAUGUGGGAAGGCCCAGACAGCCAGGAUGUUGGCUUAGAAGCAGCCAUCAUUUAAAGAAAGCGUAAUAGCUCACUGGUCGAGUCGGCCUGCGCGGAAGAUGUAACGGGGCUAAACCAUGCACCGAAGCUGCGGCAGCGACACUGUGUGUUGUUGGGUAGGGGAGCGUUCUGUAAGCCUGCGAAGGUGUGCUGUGAGGCAUGCUGGAGGUAUCAGAAGUGCGAAUGCUGACAUAAGUAACGAUAAAGCGGGUGAAAAGCCCGCUCGCCGGAAGACCAAGGGUUCCUGUCCAACGUUAAUCGGGGCAGGGUGAGUCGACCCCUAAGGCGAGGCCGAAAGGCGUAGUCGAUGGGAAACAGGUUAAUAUUCCUGUACUUGGUGUUACUGCGAAGGGGGGACGGAGAAGGCUAUGUUGGCCGGGCGACGGUUGUCCCGGUUUAAGCGUGUAGGCUGGUUUUCCAGGCAAAUCCGGAAAACCAAGGCUGAGGCGUGAUGACGAGGCACUACGGUGCUGAAGCGACAAAUGCCCUGCUUCCAGGAAAAGCCUCUAAGCAUCAGGUAACAUCAAAUCGUACCCCAAACCGACACAGGUGGUCAGGUAGAGAAUACCAAGGCGCUUGAGAGAACUCGGGUGAAGGAACUAGGCAAAAUGGUGCCGUAACUUCGGGAGAAGGCACGCUGAUAUGUAGGUGAAGCGACUUGCUCGUGGAGCUGAAAUCAGUCGAAGAUACCAGCUGGCUGCAACUGUUUAUUAAAAACACAGCACUGUGCAAACACGAAAGUGGACGUAUACGGUGUGACGCCUGCCCGGUGCCGGAAGGUUAAUUGAUGGGGUUAGCGGCAACGCGAAGCUCUUGAUCGAAGCCCCGGUAAACGGCGGCCGUAACUAUAACGGUCCUAAGGUAGCGAAAUUCCUUGUCGGGUAAGUUCCGACCUGCACGAAUGGCGUAAUGAUGGCCAGGCUGUCUCCACCCGAGACUCAGUGAAAUUGAACUCGCUGUGAAGAUGCAGUGUACCCGCGGCAAGACGGAAAGACCCCGUGAACCUUUACUAUAGCUUGACACUGAACAUUGAGCCUUGAUGUGUAGGAUAGGUGGGAGGCUUUGAAGUGUGGACGCCAGUCUGCAUGGAGCCGACCUUGAAAUACCACCCUUUAAUGUUUGAUGUUCUAACGUUGGCCCCUAAUCGGGGUUGCGGACAGUGUCUGGUGGGUAGUUUGACUGGGGCGGUCUCCUCCUAAAGAGUAACGGAGGAGCACGAAGGUUGGCUAAUCCUGGUCGGACAUCAGGAGGUUAGUGCAAUGGCAUAAGCCAGCUUGACUGCGAGCGUGACGGCGCGAGCAGGUGCGAAAGCAGGUCAUAGUGAUCCGGUGGUUCUGAAUGGAAGGGCCAUCGCUCAACGGAUAAAAGGUACUCCGGGGAUAACAGGCUGAUACCGCCCAAGAGUUCAUAUCGACGGCGGUGUUUGGCACCUCGAUGUCGGCUCAUCACAUCCUGGGGCUGAAGUAGGUCCCAAGGGUAUGGCUGUUCGCCAUUUAAAGUGGUACGCGAGCUGGGUUUAGAACGUCGUGAGACAGUUCGGUCCCUAUCUGCCGUGGGCGCUGGAGAACUGAGGGGGGCUGCUCCUAGUACGAGAGGACCGGAGUGGACGCAUCACUGGUGUUCGGGUUGUCAUGCCAAUGGCACUGCCCGGUAGCUAAAUGCGGAAGAGAUAAGUGCUGAAAGCAUCUAAGCACGAAACUUGCCCCGAGAUGAGUUCUCCCUGAGACUUAGAGUCUCCUGAAGGAACGUUGAAGACGACGACGUUGAUAGGCCGGGUGUGUAAGCGCAGCGAUGCGUUGAGCUAACCGGUACUAAUGAACCGUGAGGCUUAACCUUACAACGCCGAAG